Bradysia coprophila is the source of this 134-nucleotide long non-coding RNA. The record is from RefSeq and is a predicted model, not a curated record. NCBI's taxonomy places the organism in Eukaryota, Metazoa, Arthropoda, Insecta, Diptera, Sciaridae.
AAAUGCCAGCCCAUAUUAGGAUUUUUAAAUCAGCACACAUUCCACCUAUUCCACACACAUUCCACUAAUUUUUGACAGUUGUCAAAAAGUAGCAGAUUAAUUCCUGGAUGGUACAUCUUGAAAUACGAUACUAA